RNAcentral lists this ribosomal RNA (428 nucleotides) under uncultured bacterium. RNAcentral's name for it is "partial 16S ribosomal RNA". It matches the Rfam family "Bacterial small subunit ribosomal RNA", at positions 354 to 796 of the family's 1533-position model. The record is from RNAcentral.
GUGGGGAAUAUUAGGCAAUGGGCGAAAGCCUGACCUAGCAACGCCGCGUGAAGGAAGAAGGCCUUCGGGUUGUAAACUUCUUUUAUGAGGGACGAAGGACGUGACGGUACCUCAUGAAUAAGCCACGGCUAACUACGUGCCAGCAGCCGCGGUAAUACGUAGGUGGCGAGCGUUGUUCGGAUUUACUGGGUGUAAAGGGCGCGUAGGCGGACUGGCAAGUCAGAUGUGAAAUACAGGGGCUCAACCCCUGAACUGCAUUUGAAGCUGUUGGUCUUGAGUAUCGGAGAGGCAAGCGGAAUUCCUAGUGUAGCGGUGAAAUGCGUAGAUAUUAGGAAGAACACCAGUGGCGAAGGCGACUUUCUGGACGAAAACUGACGCUGAGGCGCGAAAGCCAGGGGAGCGAACGGGAUUAGAAACCCCGGUAGUCC